AACGUAGGACACGAGCGUUAUCCGGAGUUACUGGGCGUAAAGGGCGUUCAGGUGGGUGAUUAAGUUCGCUAUGAAAGCGCCGGGCUAAACCCGGCGAGGCUGGCGGAUACUGGUCAUCUGGAGUGAGGUAGAGGGAAGUAGAAUUCCGCGUGUAGUGGUGAAAUGCGUAGAGAUGCGGAGGAAUACCAGUGGCGAAGGCGACUUCCUGGACCUUAACUGACACUGAAGCGCGAAAGCAUGGGGAGCGAACGGG
Molecule: ribosomal RNA, 253 nt
Filed under: uncultured bacterium
Lineage: Bacteria
Description: partial 16S ribosomal RNA
Rfam family: Bacterial small subunit ribosomal RNA
Source: RNAcentral